RNAcentral lists this ribosomal RNA (492 nucleotides) under uncultured bacterium. RNAcentral describes it as "partial 16S ribosomal RNA". It matches the Rfam family "Bacterial small subunit ribosomal RNA", at positions 29 to 507 of the family's 1533-position model. The record is from RNAcentral.
AGUGAACGCUGGCGGUAGGCCUAACACAUGCAAGUCGAACGGCAGCACAGUAAGAGCUUGCUCUUACGGGUGGCGAGUGGCGGACGGGUGAGGAAUACAUCGGAAUCUACUUUUUCGUGGGGGAUAACGUAGGGAAACUUACGCUAAUACCUCAUACGACCUACGGGUGAAAGCAGGGGAUCUUCGGACCUUGCGCGAUUGAAUGAGCCGAUGUCGGAUUAGCUAGUUGGCGGGGUAAAGGCCCACCAAGGCGACGAUCCGUAGCUGGUCUGAGAGGAUGAUCAGCCACACUGGAACUGAGACACGGUCCAGACUCCUGCGGGAGGCAGCAGUGGGGAAUAUUGGACAAUGGGCGCAAGCCUGAUCCAGCCAUACCGCGUGGGUGAAGAAGGCCUUCGGGUUGUAAAGCCCUUUUGUUGGGAAAGAAAAGCAGCAGGUUAAUACCCCGCUGUUCUGACGGUACCCAAAGAAUAAGCACCGGCUAACUUCGUG